AUCGAAAGAAGAGGUUGCAUGACUCAUCAUUAGGUAGUCUUAGACGGAAUAAGCGUUGGAGGAUUAUCGAAAGGGUGCCAUGCCGAAAUGGAAGGCUACUUAUUUUAGUAUUCUGUUGGGCCCUGGUUUAAUAAAUCAGGGACUGUCGCAAUGAUAAUUGCGGGGCGCUAUCGACGAU
Molecule: non-coding RNA, 178 nt
Filed under: Paucilactobacillus oligofermentans
Lineage: Bacteria; Bacillati; Bacillota; Bacilli; Lactobacillales; Lactobacillaceae
Also listed under: 1 other name
Description: Lactobacillus oligofermentans Lysine sequence
Rfam family: Lysine riboswitch aptamer
About the family: Riboswitches are metabolite binding domains within certain messenger RNAs that serve as precision sensors for their corresponding targets. Allosteric rearrangement of mRNA structure is mediated by ligand binding, and this results in modulation of gene expression.
Source: RNAcentral